Non-coding RNA from Paramuricea clavata, 870 nucleotides. The record is from the annotation of a GenBank genome assembly. Lineage: Eukaryota; Metazoa; Cnidaria; Anthozoa; Malacalcyonacea; Plexauridae.
UGACGAUUUUUUGCUUUCCAUUCAACGAUUUGCAAAUUAUUGGUUAUUCUUUUAAAAGUCGAUCAUAAAUUCUUUGUUUUGGGAUGAUUGCUUUGUAAUCGUGUGACGGGAGUAAAUACCGUAUACGUCGAUCUAUGGCUUGUUUAAAACCGUAAUAAACGAAGAAAGACGUGAUUUGAGAAUGAAAUGUAAGUUGAAAUUAACUUUAUAUGCCUCAAACUUUCCAUCCUAUGUUUCAUAAUGUAACUUCAGCUGGCAAGUUCAAAAUACAAGCUCGCGAAAUUUGACAAAUUUUGAAAAUAUGUAAAAAUAGCUUGACUUUGAACUGUAGUUUCUCAAAAAUAACUCGUGGCCUCAAUUUCAAAUAUAGCUAAAUGCAUGAAAAGAAAAAACGUUUCGGCGUUUGUAGGUAUCAAACAUAUCGUCAGGAAAAUAGGGGCUCACAAUGUUUUAGUUCAGUCUUUGAGACCCAGUUGCUUCGCACGUGUUGUGGUCAAAUUUUUGCCAAGAAUCAAAGGCUGAAAUGUGAACUUCCUUCAUGAAAACCGCUUCGAGAAGGGUCUAGUUUGAAAAUCUACCUAUUAAUUUCGAUUUCGUGAGCAUAUUUUGGUUACACGUUAAGUAUUUUUGUGCUUGAUGAGAUUCAAAAUUUGUUGUAUAUUCAAGCCCGGCUUUUGUAUAAUUUUGGUGAUGACCGGAACAGAAAUUAAGAUAUUUUAAAAACUGGCCGUGGCCUCACGAUAAAACUUUCUACAAAUGUUCUCUGUUUUUGAUAUCUUAGGUAUAAGCGUAAAAAUAGGGGCUCAUACAGUUUAAGAGGUUGUAAAAUGCAUGACUUGCCUCUAUUUUCAUGUAAACAUUCGAAAUUCU